UUGAAAGGGAAACGAUUGAAGUCAGUCGUGCUGGCAUGAAAUCAACCACUGCAUACACAAAAGUGUUGGCGGGUGAGCCUAAAAACCAUCGCGCCAACAUUUUUGCGUAUGCGGUGUGAUUUUUGUAGCUGCUAGCUAGAUCAGUUUCGACCGUCAUAAAAAGGCUGGGGGGACGUGGCUCCUUCGGAAGCGUUAUAACCCUUAGCGGAAUGUGGUGGACGUGAUUGAGGAUUGCAACGGGUGCUGCUUUACCUGGCCUCUCGCUUGCGUCUCGGUGGCGACAGCUUUGUUGAUCGUCGUUGGGAACCGCAGACGAAAAGGUUAGAGUGGGGCGAUUCGUUAAGGAUGUUGACGUA
Molecule: ribosomal RNA, 356 nt
Filed under: uncultured Glomeromycotina
Lineage: Eukaryota; Fungi; Glomeromycota
Description: LSU rRNA
Source: RNAcentral